UCCCACAAGGAGAAGCAGGCUGGGUGUGCUCCAGCCUCCGGAAGCUCCAGCAGCCCCAGAGAUGAGGGUGGUCUGCCCCCCACACUCCCUGCCCCAGCCCAUCCUGGACCUUCUCCUGACACACAGCAAACCACACUUAGCUGUCAUUGAUGAAUCGGAGCCUCUGCCAGACAGCCGGCCAAGCCGACGCUAACUCACCCCACAGCCUGAAAUAGAAACUCGCUCGUUUUCCAGUGUGUGACAAAGAAGGAAGGACAUCAACUGGGAGUGGCCCAGAAGCUCGAAGCUGAGAGGACAAAGCUCACUGGGGUAAGUUAACAUCACUCCAGAUCAGCCCUGGUGAAGACAGCGAGAAUUGCCCACACCUGAAAAAAUGUGGCAAACUUAUUUUAAAGCUUAGCUGACAAUUUUUUCUAUAUUUGAUACAUUCAGUCCUCCACAAUCUCUACUUUACCAAAAUCCAUGCGGGUGCAUCAUAAAGAGAGAUGCUUGAUGACCAAGUUGUUCUGGACAGAUCAAGGAAAAGAGGGUGGAGGGGCUGCUGCCCCAGGAAGGCUGGGCCCACCCCUCCUCACAGGCACCCUGAUGCCUGUUCAGCUUGGCUCUCUGGAUGACAGGCAGAAGCCCCAGUUGCUUCUCUUCUCCACGGUGAUUUCUGCAUACUUUAUCCAAACCCCUUCCCCACCGCUGUCCAGUUUCUGGCUCCUCUUCCUGCCCGUGCUCUGAGGC
Molecule: long non-coding RNA, 729 nt
Filed under: Pan troglodytes (chimpanzee)
Lineage: Eukaryota; Metazoa; Chordata; Mammalia; Primates; Hominidae
Description: lincRNA
Source: RNAcentral